UUGACAGUCUUGGAGAGUGAAUCAUUUGUGUACUCCCCAAAGCAGGCAAAGCAAGUAUAGUGGGAGUGCACGCUUCCCAUAUCGCACCAUCAAUGUGCCUCAACCCUGUUCUGGCAGGACCACUAUUAGUGGAAUAGUGAAGUAGUUCACUUUCCAGGCUCACAGAAUCUUUGGAGACU
Molecule: small RNA, 179 nt
Filed under: Gopherus agassizii (Agassiz's desert tortoise)
Lineage: Eukaryota; Metazoa; Chordata; Testudines; Testudinidae
Description: TUC338 (ENSGAGG00000003164.1)
Source: RNAcentral